Molecule: ribosomal RNA, 447 nt
Filed under: uncultured bacterium
Lineage: Bacteria
Description: partial 16S ribosomal RNA
Rfam family: Bacterial small subunit ribosomal RNA
Source: RNAcentral
AACGAACGCUGGCGGCAGGCUUAACACAUGCAAGUCGAGCGCCCCGCAAGGGGAGCGGCAGACGGGUGAGUAACGCGUGGGAAUCUACCUUUUGCUACGGGAUAGCUCCGGGAAACUGGAAGUAAUACCGUAUGUGCCCUUUGGGGGAAAGAUUUAUCGGCAAAGGAUGAGCCCGCGUUGGAUUAGCUAGUUGGUGGGGUAAAGGCCUACCAAGGCGACGAUCCAUAGCUGGUCUGAGAGGAUGACCAGCCACACUGGGACUGAGACACGGCCCAGACUCCUACGGGAGGCAGCAGUGGGGAAUAUUGGACAAUGGGCGCAAGCCUGAUCCAGCCAUGCCGCGUGAGUGAUGAAGGCCCUAGGGUUGUAAAGCUCUUUCACCGGUGACGAUAAUGACGGUAACCGGAGAAGAAGCCCCGGCUAACUUCGUGCCAGCCGCCGCGGUAA